AAACAUCGCCUCUUGUAUAACUAUAAGAGGCACCGCCUGCCCGGUGGUACAAUAUUUAACGGCCGCGGUAUUUUGACCGUGUGAAGGUAGCGCAACCACUUGUCUUUUAAAUGAAGACCCGUAUGAAUGGCAAAACGAAGGCUAACCUGUCUCAUUCCUCUAGUCAAUGAAAUUGAUCUCCCCGUGCAGAAGCGAGGAUACUAACAUAAGACGAAAAGACCCUGUGGAGCUUUAGAUCGCAACAGCUUAAAACACAUAAAAUUUAUUGAUCUGUUCCUAUCUUAGGUUGGGGUGACCGCGGAGUAAACACACCCUCCGCAAAGAUACACAUAUAACUUAUAACUAAGAAUCAUACUUCAAAGUUUUAGAAUUUCUAAUCUUUUGAUCCGGCUCGCCGAUUAAUAAAAUAAGUUACCCCAGGGAUAACAGCGCAAUCCCCUUUCAGAGUUCUUAUCGACAAGGGUGUUUACGACCUCGAUGUUGGAUCAAGACAUCCUAAUGGCGCAGCAGCUAUUAAAGGUUCGUUUGUUCAACGAUUAAAGUCCUACGUGAU
This 553-nucleotide ribosomal RNA is filed under the name Campellolebias brucei. Its description in RNAcentral is "partial 16S ribosomal RNA". It matches the Rfam family "Bacterial large subunit ribosomal RNA", at positions 1811 to 2604 of the family's 2925-position model. Lineage: Eukaryota; Metazoa; Chordata; Actinopteri; Cyprinodontiformes; Rivulidae. The record is from RNAcentral.